ACUCCUACGGGAGGCAGCAGUGGGGAAUUUUGGACAAUGGGCGAAAGCCUGAUCCAGCAAUGCCGCGUGAGUGAAGAAGGCCUUCGGGUUGUAAAGCUCUUUUGUCAGGGAAGAAACGGUGAAAGCUAAUAUCUUUUGCUAAUGACGGUACCUGAAGAAUAAGCACCGGCUAACUACGUGCCAGCAGCCGCGGUAAUACGUAGGGUGCAAGCGUUAAUCGGAAUUACUGGGCGUAAAGCGUGCGCAGGCGGUUUUGUAAGUCUGAUGUGAAAUCCCCGGGCUCAACCUGGGAAUUGCAUUGGAGACUGAAAGGCUAGAAUCUGGCAGAGGGGGGUAGAAUUCCACGUGUAGCAGUGAAAUGCGUAGAUAUGUGGAGGAACACCGAUGGCGAAGGCAGCCCCCUGGGUCAAGAUUGACGCUCAUGCACGAAAGCGUGGGGAGCAAACAGGAUUAGAUACCCGUGUAGUCCCA
This 471-nucleotide ribosomal RNA is filed under the name uncultured organism. RNAcentral's name for it is "partial 16S ribosomal RNA". It matches the Rfam family "Bacterial small subunit ribosomal RNA", at positions 335 to 797 of the family's 1533-position model. The record is from RNAcentral.